Molecule: non-coding RNA, 77 nt
Filed under: Candidatus Vecturithrix granuli
Lineage: Bacteria; Candidatus Moduliflexota; Candidatus Vecturitrichia; Candidatus Vecturitrichales; Candidatus Vecturitrichaceae
Description: Bacterium UASB270 c-di-GMP sequence
Rfam family: c-di-GMP-I-GGC riboswitch aptamer
Source: Rfam by way of RNAcentral
UCUGGCAAAGCUAAACCUACCGUGAGAUGGGGACGGAAAGCCGCGGAUCUUUUAUCAAGACAGCCGGGUUGCCUGAA